Molecule: non-coding RNA, 1475 nt
Organism: Odocoileus virginianus texanus
Lineage: Eukaryota; Metazoa; Chordata; Mammalia; Artiodactyla; Cervidae
Source: RefSeq, a predicted model, not a curated record
UCUGACACAUCCCAUCAUAGUAAGGUCUAAAUAGAUUGUAAAGGGCCCACAUGAGUUUCCAAGCCUAACUGAAGAAUUUAAUUUCCUUUCAGUUGACCUGUGUUUGACUUCUCUUGUUCUACUCUUGAACUUCCCAAAGGCCACUGUCACCAGAACUCAAGACCAGGAUCUGAAAGUAACCUGGCCACACAAAGGCAUAUAAAACACUACCACCCGUUCACAGACUCACUCCACUUUAUAUUUGUGGGAAACGAUCCUAGAAGCUGAAACACGUUCAGAGUUCAACAGUCUGGGAAAUUUAAAAGAGGGAGGAAAAAAGCCCUUCAUCCAAGGAUCUGAGGACAGAACUCUGCUCUUUGAGGAUGGGAGGAGGCAAGAAGACCCUAUUCAUGGCUGCAAGAGAGGAAAAGAGCCCCAGAAGGAAACUACCAGCAGAUGACAGGAAUCUCCGCCAAAGAGUUGCAAGAAAUUGGCAGAGAUUAUACUGGUUGGUGGCAAAUUCAGUUCUGGAACCCAAGACAUCUAUUUCUCAGUUCAAUGUGUAUUCUGUUUUAGCACCCACGGACAUUUCCGUGAUAAGCAAAGUCCAAUUCUAGAAGACCUUUCUCAUAGUGAUCUUCCCUCUUGAGUUCUUGUAAGAGGAUAGAAUCUCUGACUGGUCUGUGAAUGUUUGUAGAUAUUCUUUAUAGCUAAGGUUUCAAGUUUAAAUAUUUUGGGUUAAUUUUUGUUCUAAGCCCCUGGGGAUUGUGCUUAGAUUAUAUAGCUAUCACACAAUUUGGCCCAGCUGGGAUCCUCUUUUCAUGAAAUAGCAAGGAAGACUGGUACAUGGGGAUUAAGAAGCAUUGGCAAAAGAGAACAGUCUUAAUACAAUAACUUCCCACUCUGAGCCUUUCUGGCCUAAGAAUUUCUCCUGGCCUUAACUGAAGAGAGGGGUGUGUGUGUGUGCUAAGUCUCUUCAGUCGUGUCUGAUGCUUUGCAGCCUCAUAGACUGUAGCCUGCCAGGCUCCUCUGCCCACAGAAUUCUCCAGGCAAACAUUACUGGAGUGGGUUGCUAUGCCCUCCCCCAGGGGAAUCUUCCUGACCCGGGGAUCACACCCAUCUCUCUCACAUCUCCUGCACUGGCAGGUGGGUUCUUUACUGAUAGCACUGGAAGAGAGGGGUAGAUAGAAGCAAAAAGGGAUUUUUAUCUUCUUAGUGAAAGGAGAUAUACCAAAACAGUUCAGAACUUCUCAAUUUGUUGAAAUCUUGAUUUUGCUUAGUUUAAGUUUAUAUAAUACUAAUUAUAUCCUUGUCUGACUGACCUAUACAUUCAUAGAUCAUUUUUUCCAGUGGGUACGUAUGUUUGCUAACAAAAACUAUUCUCAAUCAACUAUUGUAAAAAAUGUUAUUUUUUGCUAUUGUUUUUUUUCUUAAGAAAGUUAAUCAGUAAUUCAUGACUACUUUAGCAAUAAAGUCUCCUAAAUUUUGCAUUUUUA